This 497-nucleotide ribosomal RNA is filed under the name uncultured bacterium. RNAcentral describes it as "partial 16S ribosomal RNA". It matches the Rfam family "Bacterial small subunit ribosomal RNA", at positions 28 to 507 of the family's 1533-position model. The record is from RNAcentral.
GAUGAACGCUGGCGGCGUGCCUAAUACAUGCAAGUCGAGCGAACAGACGAUGAGCUUUCUCCUCUACCGUUAGCGGCGGACGGGUGAGUAACACGUGGAUCACCUACUUAUAAGUCUGGGAUAACUUCGGGAAACCGGAGCUAAUAACGGAUAAUAUAUUGAACGGCAUGGAUCAGUAGUGCUACACGGUUUUGCCGUCUCUUUUAGCUGGUUCCGCGCCGCAUUAGCUAGUUGGUAAGGUAACGGCCUACCAAGGCAACGAUGCGUAGCCGACCUGAGAGGGUGAUCAGCCACACUGGAACUGAGACACGGUCCAGACUCCUACGGGAGGCAGCAGUAGGGAAUAUUGGGCAAUGGGCGCAAGCCUGACGGAGCAACACCGCGUGAGUGAAGAAGGUCUUCGGGUCGUAAAACUCUGUUAUUGGGGAAGAAAAGCUGUAUAAGUAAAUAUGGACGUCUUGACGGUACCUAAUGAGAAAGCCACGGCUAACUUCGUG